CGAAGGGUGCAAGCGUUACUCGGAAUUACUGGGCGUAAAGCGUGCGUAGGUGGUGGUUUAAGUCAGAUGUGAAAAGCCCUGGGCUCAACCUGGGAACUGCAUUUGAUACUGGGUCACUAGAGUGUGGUAGAGGAUAGCGGAAUUCCUGGUGUAGCAGUGAAAUGCGUAGAGAUCAGGAGGAACAUCCGUGGCGAAGGCGGCUAUCUGGGGCCAACACUGACACUGAGGCACGAAAGCGUGGGAGCAAACAGGAUU
Molecule: ribosomal RNA, 255 nt
Filed under: uncultured bacterium
Lineage: Bacteria
Description: partial 16S ribosomal RNA
Rfam family: Bacterial small subunit ribosomal RNA
Source: RNAcentral